RNAcentral lists this ribosomal RNA (253 nucleotides) under uncultured bacterium. RNAcentral's name for it is "partial 16S ribosomal RNA". It matches the Rfam family "Bacterial small subunit ribosomal RNA", at positions 524 to 776 of the family's 1533-position model. The record is from RNAcentral.
UACGGAGGAUGCAAGCGUUAUCCGGAAUUAUUGGGCGUAAAGCGUCCGCAGGUGGCUGUGUAAGUCUGCUGUUAAAGAGUGAGGCUCAACCUCAUAAAAGCAGUGGAAACUACACAGCUAGAGUGCGUUCGGGGCAGAGGGAAUUCCUGGUGUAGCGGUGAAAUGCGUAGAGAUCAGGAAGAACACCGGUGGCGAAGGCGCUCUGCUAGGCCGCAACUGACACUGAGGGACGAAAGCUAGGGGAGCGAAUGGG